GUGCCGCAGCUAACGCAUUAAGCACUCCGCCUGGGGAGUACGACCGCAAGGUUGAAACUCAAAGGAAUUGACGGGGGCCCGCACAAGCGGUGGAGCAUGUGGUUUAAUUCGAAGCUACGCGAAGAACCUUACCAGGUCUUGACAUCUUGCGCCAACCCUAGAGAUAGGGCGUUUCCUUCGGGAACGCAAUGACAGGUGGUGCAUGGUCGUCGUCAGCUCGUGUCGUGAGAUGUUGGGUUAAGUCCCGCAACGAGCGCAACCCUUGUUACUAGUUGCCAGCAUUCAGUUGGGCACUCUAGUGAGACUGCCGGUGACAAACCGGAGGAAGGUGGGGACGACGUCAGAUCAUCAUGCCCCUUAUGACCUGGGCUACACACGUGCUACAAUGGACGGUACAACGAGUCGCGAACUCGCGAGGGCAAGCUAAUCUCUUAAAACCGUUCUCAGUUCGGACUGCAGGCUGCAACUCGCCUGCACGAAGUCGGAAUCGCUAGUAAUCGCGGAUCAGCAUGCCGCGGUGAAUACGUUCCCGGGCCUUGUACACACCGCCCGUCACACCAUGAGAGU
RNAcentral lists this ribosomal RNA (567 nucleotides) under uncultured bacterium. RNAcentral describes it as "bacterial SSU rRNA". It matches the Rfam family "Bacterial small subunit ribosomal RNA", at positions 843 to 1411 of the family's 1533-position model. The record is from RNAcentral.